This 374-nucleotide ribosomal RNA is filed under the name uncultured organism. RNAcentral describes it as "partial 16S ribosomal RNA". It matches the Rfam family "Bacterial small subunit ribosomal RNA", at positions 527 to 896 of the family's 1533-position model. The record is from RNAcentral.
GUAGGUGGCAAGCGUUGUCCGGAAUUAUUGGGCGUAAAGCGCGCGCAGGCGGUCCUUUAAGUCUGAUGUGAAAGCCCACGGCUCAACCGUGGAGGGUCAUUGGAAACUGGGGGACUUGAGUACAGAAGAGGAAAGCGGAAUUCCAAGUGUAGCGGUGAAAUGCGUAGAGAUUUGGAGGAACACCAGUGGCGAAGGCGGCUUUCUGGUCUGUAACUGACGCUGAGGCGCGAAAGCGUGGGGAGCAAACAGGGAUUAGAUACCCGUGGUAGUCCACGCCGUAAACGAUGAGUGCUAAGUGUUAGGGGGUUUCCCGCCCCCCUUAGUGCUGCAGCUAACGCAUUAAGCACUCGCCUGGGGAUACGGCCGCAAGGCUG